RNAcentral lists this ribosomal RNA (822 nucleotides) under Mycobacterium sp. RNAcentral's name for it is "bacterial SSU rRNA". It matches the Rfam family "Bacterial small subunit ribosomal RNA", at positions 107 to 928 of the family's 1533-position model. The record is from RNAcentral. Lineage: Bacteria; Bacillati; Actinomycetota; Actinomycetes; Mycobacteriales; Mycobacteriaceae.
UGAGUAACACGUGGGCAAUCUGCCCUGCACUUCGGGAUAAGCCUGGGAAACUGGGUCUAAUACCGGAUAGGACCUUUAGACGCAUGUCUUUUGGUGGAAAGCUUUUGCGGUGUGGGAUGGGCCCGCGGCCUAUCAGCUUGUUGGUGGGGUGAUGGCCUACCAAGGCGACGACGGGUAGCCGGCCUGAGAGGGUGUCCGGCCACACUGGGACUGAGAUACGGCCCAGACUCCUACGGGAGGCAGCAGUGGGGAAUAUUGCACAAUGGGCGCAAGCCUGAUGCAGCGACGCCGCGUGGGGGAUGACGGCCUUCGGGUUGUAAACCUCUUUCACCAUCGACGAAGGUUCGGGUUUUCUCGGAUUGACGGUAGGUGGAGAAGAAGCACCGGCCAACUACGUGCCAGCAGCCGCGGUAAUACGUAGGGUGCGAGCGUUGUCCGGAAUUACUGGGCGUAAAGAGCUCGUAGGUGGUUUGUCGCGUUGUUCGUGAAAUCUCACGGCUUAACUGUGAGCGUGCGGGCGAUACGGGCAGACUAGAGUACUGCAGGGGAGACUGGAAUUCCUGGUGUAGCGGUGGAAUGCGCAGAUAUCAGGAGGAACACCGGUGGCGAAGGCGGGUCUCUGGGCAGUAACUGACGCUGAGGAGCGAAAGCGUGGGGAGCGAACAGGAUUAGAUACCCUGGUAGUCCACGCCGUAAACGGUGGGUACUAGGUGUGGGUUUCCUUCCUUGGGAUCCGUGCCGUAGCUAACGCAUUAAGUACCCCGCCCNGGGGAGUACGGCCGCAAGGCUAAAACUCAAAGGAAUUGACGGGGGCCCGCACAA